This 1134-nucleotide long non-coding RNA is filed under the name Canis lupus dingo (dingo). Its description in RNAcentral is "lncRNA (ENSCAFG00020001210.1)". Lineage: Eukaryota; Metazoa; Chordata; Mammalia; Carnivora; Canidae. The record is from RNAcentral.
AUGGAGGCUGAGCUCAGUGGUGACCAGCAUAUCCUGCCCAGGGCUGUGCCUACUCCCCGCUGGGCACUUAGCAGCCUGGCAGGGCAGCCACAUGGCACACGCUGCCCACAGCAACUACUUCAGGAGCUUGGCAGGCCGUGCCUGUGUCAAGGUGGCCACACCACCACGAUCCAACUCUGGACAUCAUGCAACAAAUUCCAAAGGCCCAGGAGAUGGCCACGACAAGCUCCCAUGUCUGAUCCACUAGAACAUUCCCGUAGGGUGGGCGUUUGCUCGGGUUGCCAUUUUAGUUCAAAUGGGCCUGGACUGACAGCAGCUUACAGGCCGCCCUCUGCUGCAGAGCCAGGGUGUCCCCCGGAGCCCAACACUGAACUCAGCUUGCCGGCCCAGGGCACGCCUUCCCCACAGGAGAGCUGCCAGCAGAGUCACUCUGUGAACGACGAUCCAGUCAUUUUCUUUUUUUUUUUUUUAAUUUUUUUUUUUAAUUUAUUUAUGAUAGUCACAGAGAGAGAGAAAGAGAGAGGCAGAGACACAGGCAGAGGGAGAAGCAGGCUCCAUGCACCGGGAGCCCGACGUGGGAUUCGAUCCCGGGUCUCCAGGAUCGCGCCCUGGGCCAAAGGCAGGCGCCAAACCGCUGCGCCACCCAGGGAUCCCCGAUCCAGUCAUUUUCAUGCCACUGUUUCCAAUACUAACACCCUGAGAGUGGGACCAGCUGGGACAGGCCCUGAGCUCAGCGCAGCGCACACCUUCACCGAUCUGCUGGGGAGGACCCUGAGGCAUGAGAGGCCACGAGGCCUGCCUCCUCGGGUGUGCAGCAGGACUCCUAGCUCAAGCAUCUACAGUCUCCGCCCCCCCACCUCCGCCAAAAGUCUACACACUGCAGGUUCUGAUGCAGCUUCCUGCAGGGCUCUCUUUGAGAUAAAGGCAAAUUCAAGGCCAGCAGCUGUCUGCGAUAGGUCUGACCCACCUCUCACCCCACUCCGAUCUACUUUCCAAACCCACAGAAGGUCCCCCAAACACACUCUCCAUCCUUUCCCACCUCUUGGCCCACCUGUGGGUCUUGCACUCUCCAAGCCACUGCCCGGGGAGCCCUGCACACAGUGUUCACAGAGGGUCAGGCAUGCUUCUCCAUGA